This 348-nucleotide transfer-messenger RNA is filed under the name Candidatus Aminicenantota bacterium. RNAcentral's name for it is "Candidatus Aminicenantes bacterium transfer-messenger RNA". It matches the Rfam family "transfer-messenger RNA". From Rfam's summary of the family: Bacterial tmRNA, also known as 10Sa RNA or SsrA, is named for its dual tRNA and mRNA-like properties. The record is from RNAcentral. Lineage: Bacteria; Candidatus Aminicenantota.
GGGGGCGAAAUGGGUUCGACGGAGGCAAUGAGAUAGAGGCUGCAUGCCGAGGUCCCACCAACCUCGUUAAACAGGUGGACCAAAAGAAGUGCAGAAACUCUGCCUGUUGCUGCCUAAUUGAAGGCAGGCCGUCUCUCUUGGGUUUUCCUGCGGCCCUUGAGAGGCGUCGGUGAGCAGGAUAGCAACUCGGGUUGGCCUUGAGCCCGGGAAGCGAAAUUAGAUCAAGGCUAGCGGCAGAGUGCCCUUCCUCUUCGGGAGCUUGGCCGCGAAGGUUAAAGAAGAGGAUAAGCAUGUAGAGGCCUCGAGUCGAAGGCCUUCGGACGCGGGUUCGAUUCCCGCCGCCUCCAA